This 207-nucleotide ribosomal RNA is filed under the name uncultured bacterium. RNAcentral describes it as "partial 16S ribosomal RNA". It matches the Rfam family "Bacterial small subunit ribosomal RNA", at positions 568 to 774 of the family's 1533-position model. The record is from RNAcentral.
UUAGUAGGUGGCCAACUAAGUCAGACGUGAAAUCCCUCAGCUUAACUGGGGAACUGCGUCUGAGACUGAUUGGCUCGAGGACAGGAGAGGAACGCGGAAUUCCAGGUGUAGCGGUGAAAUGCGUAGAUAUCUGGAGGAACACCGGUGGCGAAGGCGGCGUUCUGGACUGUUUCUGACACUGAAUAACGAAAGCCAGGGGAGCAAACG